Molecule: ribosomal RNA, 914 nt
Filed under: uncultured archaeon
Lineage: Archaea
Description: bacterial SSU rRNA
Rfam family: Archaeal small subunit ribosomal RNA
Source: RNAcentral
UUCCGGUUGAUCCUGCCGGACCUGACUGCUAUCGGAUUGAUACUAAGCCAUGCGAGUCUUUGCAGUAAUGCAAGGCAUACGGCUCAGUAACACGUAGUCAACUUACCCUAUGGACGAGGAUAAUCUCGGGAAACUGAGCAUAAUACUCGAUAGAUCGUAAUGCCUGGAAUGGUUUAUGGUUGAAAUGAUUCGUCGCCAUAGGAUGGGACUGCGGCCUAUCAGCUUGUUGGUGAGGUAAUGGCCCACCAAGGCGAUUACAGGUACGGGCUCUGAGAGGAGAAGCCCGGAGAUGGGUACUGAGACAAGGACCCAGGCCCUAUGGGGCGCAGCAGGCGAGAAAACUUUGCAAUGUGCGAAAGCACGACAAGGUUAAUCCGAGUGAUUUCUGCUAAAGAAAUCUUUUGCAAGUCAUAAAACCACUAGUGAAUAAGGGGUGGGCAAGUUCUGGUGUCAGCCGCCGCGGUAAAACCAGCACCUCAAGUGGUCAGGAGGAUUAUUGGGCCUAAAGCAUCCGUAGCCGGCUCUGUAAGUUUUCGGUUAAAUCCAUGUGCUCAACGCAUGGGCUGCCGAAAAUACUGCAUAGCUAGGGAGUGGGAGAGGUAGACGGUACUCGGUAGGAAGGGGUAAAAUCCUUUGAUCUACCGAUGACCACCUGUGGCGAAGGCGGUCUACCAGAACACGUUCGACGGUGAGGGAUGAAAGCUGGGGGAGCAAACCGGAUUAGAUACCCGGGUAGUCCCAGCUGUAAACGAUGCAGACUCGAUGAUGCAUUGGCAUAUAGCCAGUGCAGUGUCGCAGGGAAGCCGUUAAGUCUGCCGCCUGGGAAGUACGUACGCAAGUAUGAAACUUAAAGGAAUUGGCGGGGGAGCACCACAAGGGGUGAAGCCUGCGGUUCAAUUGGAUUCAACGCCGGA